CCCUUAGAUGUCCUGGGCCGCACGCGCGCUACGCUGACAUGUUCAACAAGCCUCCUAGUUCGACAGGAUUUGGGAAAUCUUUGAACGCAUGUCGUGAUAGGGAUAGAUCAUUGCAAUUAUUGAUCUUGAACGAGGAAUUCCUAGUAAACGCGAGUCAUCAGCUCGCAUUGAUUACGUCCCUGCCCUUUGUACACACCGCCCGUCGCUCCUACCGAUUGAAUGCUCAGGUGAGCCAUUCGGACUUUCAUCAUGCUGGUUUCCAGUUUUGAUGAAGGAAAGUCUUGCGAACCUUAUCAUUUAGAGGAAGGAGAAGUCGUAACA
Molecule: ribosomal RNA, 321 nt
Filed under: uncultured eukaryote
Lineage: Eukaryota
Description: partial 18S ribosomal RNA
Rfam family: Eukaryotic small subunit ribosomal RNA
Source: RNAcentral